Molecule: small nucleolar RNA, 107 nt
Filed under: Nicotiana attenuata
Lineage: Eukaryota; Viridiplantae; Streptophyta; Magnoliopsida; Solanales; Solanaceae
Description: Plant small nucleolar RNA R71
Rfam family: Plant small nucleolar RNA R71
About the family: R71 is a member of the C/D box family of snoRNAs containing the C (UGAUGA) and D (CUGA) box motifs. Multiple nearly identical copies of this snoRNA have been identified in Arabidopsis, and it is thought to function as a 2'-O-ribose methylation guide for 18S ribosomal RNA.
Source: Rfam by way of RNAcentral
AUACCAUGUCGAGGACAUAUGACCAACAUCCCUUUGAAUCAUUCCCAUGUUUCAUGCAGUGUCUCCAUUGGUCUCUGUUUGAAACUAAAAAUUUCAUCAAUUUGUUG